GGUCCGGUGGUGCAGUGGUUAGCGUGUAGCCUCUGAACCCCAGUAUGGCCUGGGUUCAAUCCCAGACGGACCC
Molecule: transfer RNA, 73 nt
Filed under: Culex quinquefasciatus (southern house mosquito)
Lineage: Eukaryota; Metazoa; Arthropoda; Insecta; Diptera; Culicidae
Description: tRNA-Gln
Source: RNAcentral